AGGCAUCGGAGAGGUAGAUUCACACAAGUCUUGUGACUUAAUAAGUCAUUCUUUCCAGAAGAAUUGAUAUUUUAACAUAAUAUUUAAUAUUUAAUGUAUUGGAAGAGGGCUAGUGGAUUAACUAAAGUGACUAAAUCUCUAUUGAUGAUACCUGAAUUGAGGAGACAUUUCUAACCAAAAGGUUCUUCCAGAUGCCGUUCUUAUUCUAUAACAUAGGCAGGUGCCGAGUAUUCUUUCUUCUCACAAGGCUGUGAGAAGUUGCUGUGAUAAUGUAAGCAUGACAUGAAGGUUAGCAUUUUUGUUCACUGUAUUUACUGCUUUUCCCCAGUACUUAGAACAAUGCCUUCCACUGAGUAGGCAUUCGAUACAUAUAUACUAACUGUAUGAAUAUUCGCAAUCUCUUUGCCAAAAUACAGGCAUGUUAACUCAAGGCCCAUAGGCCUGGCAGAGAUCUGGCAGUGAAGCUUAUUACAUUGGGAAGCCCACAUUUAAGUGGAAAUUGGCUACAGAAAAGUAAUGAGCAAAUGUGGUAGAGCGUUCUAUAGGCUAACCAAAAUCGUUGUCUCUUCCUCCUGAGCAGAUGGCUAGACUACACUUCCCAGCUUCCCUUGAAUUUAGAUGUGACCAUGUGACUGGAUUUUAGCCAUUUGAAGGUCAGCUGAGUAAUUUGAACUACUGCCAGUCUUAGCUCAUUAAAACCUCCUGUACAAUUCUUUAUAGUUUUUCUUGCCCCAUCUGCCAGCUGGAAGAGAAUCCACACAGCACUUCAAGCCCUACGGGAAGCUGGAUUCUGAAUGAUGGUUUGGAAGGCCCCCCGCCAUAUUAGGUUAAAAGUUCACUGCUGUUUACGAUAUGGAAUGGACCUCAGUUCCUCAGGGUGCCAGCCAAAUGCUUUUGAAGAAGAGGAAGUCAGGAAGUCAUAGGCCUUCAGACUCAGAUUGGAAUGUACACCAUUGGCUUUCCAGCUCUCCGCCUUCUAACUCACCACUGGCCUUCCUGGGUGUCCAUGGUUUCAGUUACUGGCAAACAACUGUGGUCCAGGAGAAGAUGGCCCUCCUUCUGAGCAAUUACUUAUAUGGAGAGAGAUGGGACAUGUUUAAAUUUGCAAACUACACAAAACUGAGAAGGAUGGUAAAACAUUGCAUGGUCAAAACUAGAGGUAAGUUGAUGUCAAUAUGUUGUGCUAAAUUAAAUAUACAAAGAUAAAAUAGAUAGAGAAAGAUAAUAGAAAGAUAAGACCAUUCUGUACUCAAUGUAAACACACACACACACACACACACACACACGCACACACAACCUUGCAAGUGUAAAAUGAGAGGUAUGAGGCUUAGACAAGAUAACCUAAAGCUCAAUAUGAAUUGUUAUUGUAAUGUGGCUGGCUAUUGGUAAAUCUACUUUGAGCUUAGACUUUAUUUUUUAAAAAAAGAUACAUUUUCUCAAAAGAGGAAAUACCAUGACUAAUUCUGUAUACCACUCAUUCAAAGGAGACAGAGGAAAACAAACAAAGGAUACAUUUGGAGAGAGUGACCAGUCCAGGGUUAUAGAGCAUUACAAGCUCUUAGGAAGCCAGGCUUCAUUCACACUGCCUUCUAUUAUUAUUCAAAAACAUAUGUGGUGAAAAGCCAACACACUCACUCAGUAAGGACUGGAGUUCUGUGGGAGUAGUAUUAAUGGAUAGAAAUUGCAGAGUAACUGAUUUUUUACUUAAUAUAAAGCAGUGGUUUUCAAUAUCACAAUUGCCUAAAUGAGCCACUUCGGGAGGCAGUAGGUUUCCAUCGCUGGAGGUCUUCAAAUAGAAGUUGGAUGACCAGUUGGGGGAACAUACUUAAUAUUGUUUGUUGCUUUGACACUUGUCCUCAAACAGUGCUUAGUACACAUUAGCCACCAACAAAGUUUUAUUGAAUGAAUGAUUGAAUAGAAAGAGGUUAUUUAUAACUGACAUUUAUGGAGUCCUCAUUAUUUGUCAGGCAGAGCUAAUUUUUCAAAACUUUAUAGGAAGGGGCGGUUACUGUUUUCUUUUUGCAGUUCAGAGAAAUGAAGCUAUCAAAGGGAAGGACAAAGGGGAGUAGAAGAGACAGAGUUUUGAUUGUGGUAUAUCAGUCUCCUGAGCCUGUUUCAAGUUUCAGAAGGUGGUUAACUUUAAUCUGUACGAUUCUUUCACCAAACACAUCCUAAUAUAUGUUAUUAUUAAUUAAACAAGGAGACCAUUAGACUGAGGUUGUUCUAAUACCUUAUCAGCCUGCAUAAGCAAACCAAAAUCUAAGCCUAUAAAUGCCUCAACAUUAAGAUGUCAAGACCUAGGGACGGCCAAUCACAGGAAGCUAGACUUUUCCAAAUGAAGCAAAUGCUUAAACUAAAGUGAAUCAAAUAAUUCCCUUGCUUGCUUCUUCCUUUCCUCUGUCAAAGCCUCUCCCAUAGCUUUUGUCAAUGGAGUGCUCCAAACACUUCCAGGUUGACACUGCCUGACUGGGAUUGAUUUCUGCUCAAAUAAACUCUUAAAAUCUUUAAUAUUCUUAGCUUAUCAUUUAACAACGCCAGUAGGAAGGGCUUCAAUUUACCAACACUUAGUACAUUAGAUCCAAUUUGUUUACUCUACUUGUUAACAUUAAAAUGGAGGUAAAAUGGAGUGGUAGGAAUUUGAUCUCUGAGACAGUUAAAUAUGUUAUGGGACUUUUAAUUAAUUAGCAGGAAAAAGGACAGGAAGGCAGUCAGGCAGACUAGUACAGUGCGUGAAUGUGAGUAGCUGGAAGCCAGGGUGGCUCUCGGGCUUUAUUAUUUUGGAUGCUUACAAGAAGUAUAUGAAGAAAAUAGAAGGUGGAACCAAUGACAGAUUGCACUAUUUUGUAGUUUUGCCUGGUUUAAACCGUUGGUUACAUUUUGAGGAUUAGUGCAGAGUGUCCGCUCUAGAGGCCAGAUUUAAUACCUUACUAAUAUCUAUAUCCUCUGAGCCUUUCAGCUCAGACUUUCAGCAUUGCACAAAGAAGUGAUCAGGACAGAGUAAAUAUGUGGUGGAUACCAUUGUCUCUGGGGCAACUGGAAUGGUGCUGGUUUUAAUUUGUAACUCUUUCUAUUAGCAAGCCCUUGCUUGUUAUGGUAAUUCCAAAAUUUGCUAGUAGCUUAUCUUUAAGAUUUACCUCAAGUUUUGUUCUGGAGAGUAUUGUAUGACCUACUUAUAUAGCUACCUUUGUUUGUUGUCUUUUAAAUUAUUUAUCACUCCAUGUGUGCCUUUCAUAAUACAACUGUGAUAGAUUCUAAUGUUCUGUUUAAUUAUCUGCAUGUUCCUCCUCCCCUCCCUGCCGGUUCCUUGACUCUGAAUUCAUUGAGAAUGUGGCGACCAUGCUGCUCAUCUAUUACCUUCCAUGCCUAGCAAAGUGCUUAGCAAGUAAUUAAUGCUGUGAAAGCAAAAACUGCACCCAGUGAAGUUAAACAGGCAAAGGAAGACUUUAUCUGAAGCUAUUGCAAUAAAAGAAAGGUCCAAACUGGGCUCAACUCUCACGAAACAAUGGGUGAGAAAGUUUUUAAGAGCUGGGUGGAGGGAGUAUAGAUGAAGUUUCUCCUGUCUUCACUGACCAGAAAUAAUUUUACAACUUGGAGCAAGGGGCCUGCCUAAGUGAGGCUCCAGCCCUCCCACAAAAACUGGGAAAUAGGGUUGCUGUCUUCCUUGGUGAUUACAUUUCGAAGAGAUGACUUCUAGGUUCCUGAGAAAGACAUUCCUGGGUUGUAAAAUUAGCAAGAUGCUUUUCCAGAGAUUUCAAAGGUUAGAGAAAGCAUUUAUAACUGCAAACUUUCUGCAGUAAAUUCUGUAAAUAAAGAGAGUUCAAGAGCCUCGAGUCAGGAAGAAGCUUGAAUCAAGUGUAGUCAAGCUGAGAGGAACAUUAGACCACCUCGGUUUGUGUUCAGUGAAAAGUUUGCUACAUGAAUGAACAAAUGAAUAAUAAGUAAACUUUAUUUAUAAAUAGAAACCUUAUAGUGUAUUUCUUGGGAUCUUAAUUUAAAUGUGCCAGCUUAUAAGUAAUAUUUAAAAAGUAAUAUAAAUUAAAGUCAUUUAAAAUAAGCUUUCUUUUAUCUCUGUUGCUUAUUUGAUACUUCAUUGUGCAGAAAAAGCCACACCCCACAACAUACCACAUGUUGAAGAUGCAUAAUGUUUUUAAAAAAUUAAAAAGACUCCAAAAACUUUUAAGCUGGAAGCAUAUUUUAUAAAUCGUUUCCUGCAGUGGAGUACAAAAUGAUAUAUGAAAUGACUUUUUUUAAAAAUUAUUUUUUUCAGAAGCUGUUGUAUUUUCAACAUUUUUGCCUAUUCUCAAAUCAAAAGCAUUACAUCAGACGCAGAAACAUUAUGUACAAACUCUCUGUGGUAGCUGUGGCUAUAAAAUAGGAAUACAAAUGCGUUCUCUUCCUCCCUUGAUGGGUUGCUUAUGAAGAGCAAAUGAGAAUGUGAAAGCACUU
Molecule: long non-coding RNA, 4446 nt
Organism: Felis catus (domestic cat)
Lineage: Eukaryota; Metazoa; Chordata; Mammalia; Carnivora; Felidae
Exons: 5
Source: RefSeq, a predicted model, not a curated record